Molecule: ribosomal RNA, 481 nt
Filed under: uncultured bacterium
Lineage: Bacteria
Description: partial 16S ribosomal RNA
Rfam family: Bacterial small subunit ribosomal RNA
Source: RNAcentral
GAUGAACGCUGGCGGCGUGCUUAACACAUGCAAGUCGAACGAAACACCUUAUUUGAUUUUCUUCGGAACUGAAGAUUUGGUGAUUGAGUGGCGGACGGGUGAGUAACUCGUGGGUAACCUGCCCUGUACAGGGGGAUAACAGUCAGAAAUGACUGCUAAUACCGCAUAAGACCACAGCACCGCAUGGUGCAGGGGUAAAAACUCCGGUGGUACAGGAUGGACCCGCGUCUGAUUAGCUGGUUGGUGAGGUAACGGCCCACCAAGGCGACGAUCAGUAGCCGGCUUGGGAGAGUGAACGGCCACAUUGGGACUGAGACACGGCCCGAACUCCUACGGGAGGCAGCAGUGGGGAAUAUUGCAAAAUGGGGGAAACCCUGAUGCAGCGACGCCGCGUGAGUGAAGAAGUAUUUCGGUAUGUAAAGCUCUAUCAGCAGGGAAGAAAAUGACGGUACCUGACUAAGAAGCCCCGGCUAACUACGUG